This 1333-nucleotide ribosomal RNA is filed under the name uncultured bacterium. RNAcentral describes it as "bacterial SSU rRNA". It matches the Rfam family "Bacterial small subunit ribosomal RNA", at positions 28 to 1382 of the family's 1533-position model. The record is from RNAcentral.
GACGAACGCUGGCGGCGCGCCUAACACAUGCAAGUCGAACGAGAGAUGAGGAGCUUGCUCUUCAAAUCGAGUGGCGAACGGGUGAGUAACGCGUGAGGAACCUGCCUCAAAGAGGGGGACAACAGUUGGAAACGACUGCUAAUACCGCAUAAGCCCACGGCUCGGCAUCGAGCAGAGGGAAAAGGAGCAAUCCGCUUUGAGAUGGCCUCGCGUCCGAUUAGCUAGUUGGUGAGGUAACGGCCCACCAAGGCGACGAUCGGUAGCCGGACUGAGAGGUUGAACGGCCACAUUGGGACUGAGACACGGCCCAGACUCCUACGGGAGGCAGCAGUGGGGAAUAUUGCACAAUGGGGGAAACCCUGAUGCAGCGACGCCGCGUGGAGGAAGAAGGUCUUCGGAUUGUAAACUCCUGUUGUUGAGGAAGAUAAUGACGGUACUCAACAAGGAAGUGACGGCUAACUACGUGCCAGCAGCCGCGGUAAAACGUAGGUCACAAGCGUUGUCCGGAAUUACUGGGUGUAAAGGGAGCGCAGGCGGGAGAACAAGUUGGAAGUGAAAUCCAUGGGCUCAACCCAUGAACUGCUUUCAAAACUGUUUUUCUUGAGUAGUGCAGAGGUAGGCGGAAUUCCCGGUGUAGCGGUGGAAUGCGUAGAUAUCGGGAGGAACACCAGUGGCGAAGGCGGCCUACUGGGCACCAACUGACGCUGAGGCUCGAAAGUGUGGGUAGCAAACAGGAUUAGAUACCCUGGUAGUCCACACCGUAAACGAUGAUUACUAGGUGUUGGAGGAUUGACCCCUUCAGUGCCGCAGUUAACACAAUAAGUAAUCCACCUGGGGAGUACGACCGCAAGGUUGAAACUCAAAGGAAUUGACGGGGGCCCGCACAAGCAGUGGAGUAUGUGGUUUAAUUCGACGCAACGCGAAGAACCUUACCAAGUCUUGACAUCCCUUGACGAUGCUGGAAACAGUAUUUCUCUUCGGAGCAAGGAGACAGGUGGUGCAUGGUUGUCGUCAGCUCGUGUCGUGAGAUGUUGGGUUAAGUCCCGCAACGAGCGCAACCCUUAUGGUCAGUUACUACGCAAGAGGACUCUGGCCAGACUGCCGUUGACAAAACGGAGGAAGGUGGGGAUGACGUCAAAUCAUCAUGCCCUUUAUGACUUGGGCUACACACGUACUACAAUGGCGUUAAACAAAGAGAAGCAAGACCGCGAGGUGGAGCAAAACUCAGAAACAACGUCCCAGUUCGGACUGCAGGCUGCAACUCGCCUGCACGAAGUCGGAAUUGCUAGUAAUCGUGGAUCAGCAUGCCACGGUGAACACGUUCCCGGGCCUU